AUUGAACGCUGGCGGCAUGCCUUACACAUGCAAGUCGAACGGUAACAGGUCUUCGGAUGCUGACGAGUGGCGAACGGGUGAGUAAUACAUCGGAACGUGCCUAGUAGUGGGGGAUAACUACUCGAAAGAGUGGCUAAUACCGCAUGAGAUCUACGGAUGAAAGCAGGGGAUCGCAAGACCUUGUGCUACUAGAGCGGCCGAUGGCAGAUUAGGUAGUUGGUGGGAUAAAAGCUUACCAAGCCGACGAUCUGUAGCUGGUCUGGGAGGACGAUCAGCCACACUGGGACUGAGACACGGCCCAGACUCCUACGGGAGGCAGCAGUGGGGAAUUUUGGACAAUGGGCGAAAGCCCGAUCCAGCAAUGCCGCGUGCAGGAUGAAGGCCUUCGGGCUGUAAACUGCUUUUGUACGGAACGAAAAGCCCCGGGUUAAUACCCUGGGGUCAUGACGGUACCGUAAGAAUAAGCACCGGCUAACUACGUGCCAGCCGCCGCCGUAA
RNAcentral lists this ribosomal RNA (498 nucleotides) under uncultured bacterium. RNAcentral describes it as "partial 16S ribosomal RNA". It matches the Rfam family "Bacterial small subunit ribosomal RNA", at positions 30 to 523 of the family's 1533-position model. The record is from RNAcentral.